GAUGAACGCUGGCGGCGUGCCUAAUACAUGCAAGUCGAGCGAACGGACGAGAAGCUUGCUUUUCUGAUGUUAGCGGCGGACGGGUGAGUAACACGUGGAUAACCUACCUAUAAGACUGGGAUAACUUCGGGAAACCGGAGCUAAUACCGGAUAAUAUUUUGAACCGCAUGGUUCAAAAGUGAAAGACGGUCUUGCUGACACUUAUAGAUGGAUCCGCGCUGCAUUAGCUAGUUGGUAAGGUAACGGCUUACCAAGGAAACGAUGCAUAGCCGACCUGAGAGGGUGUUCGCCCACACUGGAACGAAGCCACGGCCCAGACUCCUACGGGAGGCAGCAGUAGGGAAUCUUCCGCAAUGGGCGAAAGCCUGACGGAGCAACGCCGCGUGAUUGAGGAAGGUCUUCGGAUCGUAAAACUCGUUUAUUAGGGAAGAACAUAUGUGUAAGUGACUGUGCACACCUUGACGGUACCUAAUCAGAAAGCCACGGCUAACUACGUG
Molecule: ribosomal RNA, 497 nt
Filed under: uncultured bacterium
Lineage: Bacteria
Description: partial 16S ribosomal RNA
Rfam family: Bacterial small subunit ribosomal RNA
Source: RNAcentral